RNAcentral lists this ribosomal RNA (468 nucleotides) under uncultured bacterium. RNAcentral describes it as "partial 16S ribosomal RNA". It matches the Rfam family "Bacterial small subunit ribosomal RNA", at positions 28 to 507 of the family's 1533-position model. The record is from RNAcentral.
GACGAACGCUGGCGGCGUGCUUAACACAUGCAAGUCGAACGGAAAGGCCCUGCUUUUGUUGGGUGCUCGUUUGGCGAACGGGUGAGUAACACGUGAGUAACCUGCCCUUGACUUUGGGAUAACUUCAGGAAACUGGGGCUAAUACCGGAUAGGAGCUCCUGCUUCAUGGUGGGGGUUGGAAAGUUUCGGCGGUUGUGUAUGGACUCGCGGCUUAUCAGCUUGUUUGUGGGGUAGUGGCUUACCAAGGCUUUGACGGGUAGCCGGCCUGAGAGGGUGACCGGGGACCUUGGGACUGAGAGACGGCGCAGACUCCUAUGGGAGGCAGCAGUGGGGAAUAUUGCACAAUGGGGGGAAGCCUGAUGCAGAAACGCCGCGAGCGGGAUGAUGGCUUUUGGGUUGUAAACCGAUUUCGCCUGUGAUGAAGAGUGCGUGACGGUAAUGGGUAAAGAAGCAACGGCUAACUACGUG